This 428-nucleotide ribosomal RNA is filed under the name uncultured Bacillota bacterium. Its description in RNAcentral is "bacterial SSU rRNA". It matches the Rfam family "Bacterial small subunit ribosomal RNA", at positions 958 to 1385 of the family's 1533-position model. The record is from RNAcentral. Lineage: Bacteria; Bacillati; Bacillota.
AACGCGAAGAACCUUACCAGGUCUUGACAUCCUCUGACACUCCUAGAGAUAGGACGUUCCCCUUCGGGGGACAGAGUGACAGGUGGUGCAUGGUUGUCGUCAGCUCGUGUCGUGAGAUGUUGGGUUAAGUCCCGCAACGAGCGCAACCCUUGAUCUUAGUUGCCAGCAUUCAGUUGGGCACUCUAAGGUGACUGCCGGUGACAAACCGGAGGAAGGUGGGGAUGACGUCAAAUCAUCAUGCCCCUUAUGACCUGGGCUACACACGUGCUACAAUGGAUGGUACAAAGGGCUGCAAAACCGCGAGGUCGAGCCAAUCCCAUAAAACCAUUCUCAGUUCGGAUUGUAGGCUGCAACUCGCCUACAUGAAGCUGGAAUCGCUAGUAAUCGUGGAUCAGCAUGCCACGGUGAAUACGUUCCCGGGCCUUGUA